RNAcentral lists this ribosomal RNA (253 nucleotides) under uncultured bacterium. RNAcentral's name for it is "partial 16S ribosomal RNA". It matches the Rfam family "Bacterial small subunit ribosomal RNA", at positions 524 to 776 of the family's 1533-position model. The record is from RNAcentral.
GACAGAGGGUGCAAACGUUGUUCGGAAUUACUGGGCGUAAAGCGCGUGUAGGCGGCUGCGCAAGUCGGAUGUGAAAUCCCAUGGCUCAACCAUGGAAGUGCACCCGAAACUGCGUAGCUAGAGUCUCGGAGAGGAAGGCGGAAUGCUUGGUGUAGAGGUGAAAUUCGUAGAUAUCAAGCGGAACACCGGUGGCGAAGGCGGCCUUCUGGACGAUGACUGACGCUCAUGCACGAAAGCGUGGGGAGCAAACAGG